This 560-nucleotide long non-coding RNA is filed under the name Salmo salar (Atlantic salmon). Its description in RNAcentral is "lncRNA (ENSSSAG00000106219.1)". The record is from RNAcentral. Lineage: Eukaryota; Metazoa; Chordata; Actinopteri; Salmoniformes; Salmonidae.
AGAGAGAGAGAGUUAGUAGGAGAGAGAGAGUUAGUAGGAGAGAGAGAGUUAGUAGGAGAGAGAGAGUUAGUAGGGGAGAGAGAGAGUUAGUAAGGGAGAGAGAGUUAGUAGGAGUGAGAGAGUUAGUAGGAGUGAGAGUUAGUAGGUGAGAGAGAGUGAGUAAGAGAGAGAGAGUUAGUAGGAGAGAGAGGGAGAGUUAGUAGGAGAGAGAGAGAGUUAGUAGGAGUGAGAGAGUCAGGUGGAGAUAGAGAGAGAGUUAGUAGGAGAGAGAGAGUUAGUAGGAGUGAGAGAGUUUGUAGGAGUGAGAGAGUUAGUAGGUGAGAGAGUGAGUAAGAGAGAGAGAGUUAGUAGGAGAGAGAGAGAGUGAGUAGGAGUGAGAGAGUUAGUAGGAGUGAGAGAGUUAGUAGUUGAGAGAGAGUGAGUAAGAGAGAGAGAGUGAGUAGGAUAAAGAGAGAGUUAGUAGGAUUGAGAGAGUUAGUAGGUGAGAGAGAGUUAGAGAGAGAGAGAGUUAGUAGGAGAGAGAGAGAGUUAGUAGGAGUGAGAGAGUCAGGUGGAGAUAG